GGAAGUAAAAGUGUAACAAGGUUUCCGUAGGUGAACCUGCGGAAGGAUCAUUAAAGAAUUUGCCCCGUCCUCUCGAGGAUGGGUCCUCUUCUAAACCGUGUAUACAUACCUUUGUUGCUUUGGCGGGCCGCCGUCUCGGCGUUGGCUUCGGCUGACUGUGCCCGCCAGAGAACCCCAACUCUUCUGUUUAGUAUUGUCUGAGUACUAUAUAAUAGUUAAAACUUUCAACAACGGAUCUCUUGGUUCUG
RNAcentral lists this unclassified non-coding RNA (248 nucleotides) under plant metagenome. Its description in RNAcentral is "partial contains small subunit ribosomal RNA, internal transcribed spacer 1, and 5.8S ribosomal RNA". The stretch from base 1 to 53 matches the Rfam family "Eukaryotic small subunit ribosomal RNA", at positions 1778 to 1831 of the family's 1831-position model. The record is from RNAcentral.